RNAcentral lists this ribosomal RNA (253 nucleotides) under uncultured bacterium. Its description in RNAcentral is "partial 16S ribosomal RNA". It matches the Rfam family "Bacterial small subunit ribosomal RNA", at positions 524 to 776 of the family's 1533-position model. The record is from RNAcentral.
UACGUAGGGGGCAAGCGUUGUCCGGAAUCAUUGGGCGUAAAGAGCGUGUAGGCGGUUCGGUAAGUCGGCUGUGAAAGUCGGGGGCUCAACCCUCGAAUGCCGGUGGAUACUGUCGGGCUAGAGUACGGAAGAGGCGAGUGGAAUUCCUGGUGUAGCGGUGAAAUGCGCAGAUAUCGGGAGGAACACCAGUGGCGCAAGCGGCUGACUGGCCGAGACCUGACGCUGAGACGCGACGGCGUGGGGAGCAAACCGG